RNAcentral lists this ribosomal RNA (1030 nucleotides) under Alcaligenes faecalis. RNAcentral's name for it is "bacterial SSU rRNA". It matches the Rfam family "Bacterial small subunit ribosomal RNA", at positions 463 to 1489 of the family's 1533-position model. The record is from RNAcentral. Lineage: Bacteria; Pseudomonadati; Pseudomonadota; Betaproteobacteria; Burkholderiales; Alcaligenaceae.
UACUGCUGACCGGUAUCUUGCAGAAUAAGCAUCUGGCUAAUACCGUGCCCACCAGCCGCGGUUAUUACGUACGUGUGCCAAGCAGUUAAUCGGAAUGACUGGGCGUAAAGCGUGUGUAGGCCGGUAUGGAAAGAAAAGAUGUGAAAUCCCAGGGCUCAACCUUGGAACUGCAUUUUUUAUCUGCCGAGCUAGAGUAUGUCAGAGGGGGGUAGCAUUCCACGUGUAGCAGUGAAAUGCGUAGAUAUGUGGAGGAAUACCGAUGGCGAAGGCAGCCCCCCUGGGAUAAUACUGACGCUCAGACACGAAAGCGUGGGGAGCAAACAGGAUUAGAUACCCUGGUAGUCCACGCCCUAAACGAUGUCAACUAGCUGUUGGGGCCGUUAGGCCUUAGUAGCGCAGCUAACGCGUGAAGUUGACCGCCUGGGGAGUACGGUCGCAAGAUUAAAACUCAAAGGAAUUGACGGGGACCCGCACAAGCGGUGGAUGAUGUGGAUUAAUUCGAUGCAACGCGAAAAACCUUACCUACCCUUGACAUGUCUGGAAAGCCGAAGAGAUUUGGCCGUGCUCGCAAGAGAACCGGAACACAGGUGCUGCAUGGCUGUCGUCAGCUCGUGUCGUGAGAUGUUGGGUUAAGUCCCGCAACGAGCGCAACCCUUGUCAUUAGUUGCUACGCAAGAGCACUCUAAUGAGACUGCCGGUGACAAACCGGAGGAAGGUGGGGAUGACGUCAAGUCCUCAUGGCCCUUAUGGGUAGGGCUUCACACGUCAUACAAUGGUCGGGACAGAGGGUCGCCAACCCGCGAGGGGGAGCCAAUCUCAGAAACCCGAUCGUAGUCCGGAUCGCAGUCUGCAACUCGACUGCGUGAAGUCGGAAUCGCUAGUAAUCGCGGAUCAGAAUGUCGCGGUGAAUACGUUCCCGGGUCUUGUACACCCCGCCCGUCACCCCAUGGGAGUGGGUUUCACCAGAAGUAGGUAGCCUAACCGCAAGGAGGGCGCUUACCACGGUGGGAUUCAGACUGGGGGAAGUCGU